RNAcentral lists this ribosomal RNA (378 nucleotides) under uncultured eukaryote. Its description in RNAcentral is "partial 18S ribosomal RNA". It matches the Rfam family "Eukaryotic small subunit ribosomal RNA", at positions 592 to 976 of the family's 1831-position model. The record is from RNAcentral.
CAAUAGCGUAUAUUUAAGUUGUUGCAGUUAAAAAGCUCGUAGUUGGAUUUCGGGUGGGACGCAGCGGUCUCGCAUUGCGUUUGUACUGCUGCAGCCCUCCUUCUUGCCGGGGGCGGCCUCUCGGACUUCACUGUCUGGGGGUCAGAAUCGGCGAUGUUACUUUGAGUAAAUCAGAGUGUUCAAAGCAAGCUUACGCUCUGAAUAUAAUAGCAUGGGAUAACACGACAGGACUCUGGCCUAUCGUGUUGGUCUAUAGGACCAGAGUAAUGAUUAAGAGGGACAGUCGGGGGCAUUCGUAUUCCGUUGUCAGAGGUGAAAUUCUUGGAUUUACGGAAGACGAACAUCUGCGAAAGCAUUUGCCAAGGAUGUUUUCAUUGA